AGCAGCCGCGGUAAUUCCAGCUCCAAUAGCGUAUAUUAAAGUUGUUGCAGUUAAAAAGCUCGUAGUUGAAUUUCGGGAUCGAAUUGUUGGUCGUGCCUCGGUACGCACUGGCAUUAUCGGUCUCUACCUUCUGAAGAACCGCGAUGUCAUUAAUUUGGUGUCGUGGGGAAUCAGGACUGUUACUUUGAAAAAAUUAGAGUGUUUAAAGCAGGCUUACGCUUGAAUACAUUAGCAUGGAAUAAUGAAAUAGGACGUUUGAUUCUAUUUUGUUGGUUUCUAGGAUCGACGUAAUGAUUAGUAGGGAUAGUUGGGGGCAUUAGUAUUCAAUUGUCAGAGGUGAAAUUCUUGGAUUUAUUGAAGACUAACUACUGCGAAAGCAUUUGCCAAGGAUGUUUUCAUUAAUCAAGAACGAAAGUUAGGGGAUCGAAGACGAUCAGAUACCGUCGUAGUCUUAACCAUAAACUAUGCCGACUAGGGAUCGGAUGAUGUUAAUUUUAUAAUGACUCA
This 507-nucleotide ribosomal RNA is filed under the name uncultured Glomus. Its description in RNAcentral is "SSU rRNA". It matches the Rfam family "Eukaryotic small subunit ribosomal RNA", at positions 569 to 1078 of the family's 1831-position model. Lineage: Eukaryota; Fungi; Glomeromycota; Glomeromycetes; Glomerales; Glomeraceae. The record is from RNAcentral.